UACGGAGGGUGCAAACGUUGCUCGGAAUCAUUGGGCGUAAAGCGCACGUAGGCGGUUUGUUAAGUCGGAUGUGAAAGCCCUCGGCUCAACCGAGGAAGUGCAUACGAAACUGGCGAACUUGAAUAUGGAAGAGGGUCGCGGAAUUCCCGGUGUAGAGGUGAAAUUCGUAGAUAUCGGGAGGAACACCAGUGGCGAAGGCGGCGACCUGGGCCAAUAUUGACGCUGAGGUGCGAAAGCGUGGGGAGCAAACAGG
RNAcentral lists this ribosomal RNA (253 nucleotides) under uncultured bacterium. RNAcentral's name for it is "partial 16S ribosomal RNA". It matches the Rfam family "Bacterial small subunit ribosomal RNA", at positions 524 to 776 of the family's 1533-position model. The record is from RNAcentral.